This is a long non-coding RNA of Polistes canadensis, 366 nucleotides long. RefSeq lists it as uncharacterized. The record is from RefSeq and is a predicted model, not a curated record. Lineage: Eukaryota; Metazoa; Arthropoda; Insecta; Hymenoptera; Vespidae. The transcript has 3 exons.
GCUGCUGUUCCUUCUCGCUGAACUUCCAAACACUACAGAGACACUUUUACAAGAUGGCAGCCGUACUAGCCGCGAAGCGCGCCAAAUCACUGGUUUUCCUCGAAUAUCAACAUGAUGGCGGAUCAAAUACUUUCUAAUCAACAAGGGAAUAAAAACACUGAAAUUGAAACGAGAAACGAGAACGGAGGAAAAAACUAAAAUAUGCUUCCUCACUGCAUGGCUGAACUUUGAAGACUGAAACAUUCGCCGCCUUACUACGUUACCAAGAUCAAAAUGUUUCUCUGCAAAUUUGUUUUGAUCAUAGUUGUACCAGAGGAGACGCUGAAGCUUAAAUGUUUGCUUUGAAACAAAUGACUCGUAUCGAUA